UACGUAGGGUGCAAGCGUUGUCCGGAAUUAUUGGGCGUAAAGAGCUCGUAGGCGGUUUGUUGCGUCGGCUGUGAAAUCCCGAGGCUCAACCUCGGGUCUGCAGUCGAUACGAGCAAACUAGAGUGUUGCAGGGGAGACUGGAAUUCCUGGUGUAGCGGUGAAAUGCGCAGAUAUCAGGAGGAACACCGGUGGCGAAGGCGGGUCUCUGGGACGGUACUGACGCUAAGGCGCGAAAGCGUGGGGAGCGAACAGG
RNAcentral lists this ribosomal RNA (253 nucleotides) under uncultured bacterium. Its description in RNAcentral is "partial 16S ribosomal RNA". It matches the Rfam family "Bacterial small subunit ribosomal RNA", at positions 524 to 776 of the family's 1533-position model. The record is from RNAcentral.